This 253-nucleotide ribosomal RNA is filed under the name uncultured bacterium. Its description in RNAcentral is "partial 16S ribosomal RNA". It matches the Rfam family "Bacterial small subunit ribosomal RNA", at positions 524 to 776 of the family's 1533-position model. The record is from RNAcentral.
UACAGAGGAUGCAAGCGUUAUCCGGAAUGAUUGGGCGUAAAGCGUCUGUAGGUGGCUUUUUAAGACCGCCGUCAAAUCCCAGGGCUCAACCCUGGAACUGCCUUUCAUACUGGCAAUCUAGAGUCCAGAAGAGGUGAGUGGAAUUCCGAGUGUAGAGGUGAAAUUCGUAGAUAUUCGGAGGAACACCAGUGGCGAGGGCGGCUCACUGGUCUGGAACUGACGCUGAGGUGCGAAAGUGUGGGGAUCAAACAGG